AGCAGUCAGGAAGGUUGAGCCACCAGAAAGAGCACUAUCGGUUUUUCCCAAUCCCCAUCAACCCUGAAGAUGCCGAAUUUCAUUUAAAUGGUGAAAACGCAGCUCCACACCGGUGUGGCUCUGAGCGCGCUGCACAGCCAUCAGUGGCCUGCAGCCCCUGAAGGGGAGGGCGGGAGGAGGAGAUUACCUGUAUAUCACCGCCUGUCUUCCGAUCCUGUUCCUCACAAAAAUCCCCAUAAAGAAGAUGCCGAGGUGCAUGCUGUUGCCAUGACUGUCCUGCAGAAGAUCAGCAGAAGCCAUCUGUCACCACCAUGGCCUCAGCACACCACUCACAGUAGCCAAGGUCAUCCAGCCUGAGAGAGGGUAUUGUUAUCCCAAAUUGUCACAAAACACUGUGUUCGUCCCACUCUGAGGAAGGCUACUAAUUCCUGAAGAACCUGCUAGAAGAACCCACUGAAACUCUACAAAGCAGACAUCAGUGCUGGCUUCACUGGCCGCCCUUCCUACGGUACAGACAAUAAAAACAAACAAGCAGAUGGCUGCAGGACUGAGGUCCCAACUUCCAGGCGGGGAAGCUGGUUUGGUAGAAACGGAGAAAAGUUUGCUGCUUUCCAGUGACACAAAAUGUUAUGACCAUAUAUGGGGUGCUGUCAGCGGGCUGCAGAUGGGCUCGCCAGGCGUUACUGCAAGAUAAAUGGAUUGCAGCCCUACUAAGGGCAGCAUUAGAGAAGCAAAAGAAAAUUAAACAAGUCUAAAAAGAGAGCCGUUUAGCCCUCACCACGAGACACGGCCACCCUGCUUGCUUCUGUCUGACGCUCACAGGCCAUUCUCGUCAAGGCAAAUUGCAAGCAAGGAACAGAGCGGGAGCCAGAGUGAAGUACUGAAAUGGCAGGCGCACCCAGAUCGCUGGGACGGCCAGCUGCAGUGGGUCUCUGACAGCAUGCCUGACUUUUGAAGAGUUGGUCAGUAGAGAGGGGGAAAUGACUUUGGCUCCUGGGCUCCAUGAUGCUUCCAGCCACACCCACUCCGGGAGGUGAGGCAGUAACAACGGGUGUGAGGUGCUUUCAUGAUUUCCUAGGCAUGGUUUCCAGAGAGCACCCACCACACAGCUCUGCAGAGCUGGAGAAAUAAGACAUGGUUGCAUACUGGGGAUGCUUUAAUCUGCUUUGCCAGCCCCACAUCCAAAGAAGCGUGGAGAGAAACACAAGAAAAGCCCUAGCCUCUGUCACAUCCCCAGGACGCCUGCUGCUCGGCCUGCUUUAAGAAAGACAAGGUCUGGCCUUGAUUCUUUAAGGUGGGCGGCGCCGGUGCGUGGACUCAGAUGAAUGUCCUAGAACUGCACAUAUUCUGCUGAAGAUGAAACCCCAAGUCUCCGAGCUAAGAAGGUGUUCUCCUGAUCUAAAGCGAGUUCUUAACACCGCUGUGCUGGUUAGGAUGAGAAAUGUCCUUGUAAGCUCAUGGGUUAGAAAACGUCACCAACAGCUGGUAGAAGUGUUUGGGAAAGUUACAGAACCUUUUUAGGCAGCAGAACCUUGCUGGAGGAAACAGGUCACCAGGGACAGUCCUGAGGCCUCAUAGCCCACUCUGCUGCCUGCUGACUCUGCACACUGGUUGCUUAUGCAAUGCAACCCGCUGCCCCAGUGCCUUCUCCAGCACCAAAGGCUGAGCUAAGAUUGACCCUCCUCCUUCAAGUUGCUGCUUGUCCAGUCUCAGAGAAGAAAAAGUAACUAAUUCAUCCACUAAUGUCACAUGACCCUGAGAAGCGGAAGCCACUCUGGCCCAUGGCAUGAACUCUGAAAAUGUGCAGGGGCAGGGACCACCAAUUACCUUCACCGGGAAGACCUCCUGUCCAAAUCCAUCCAAACGCUCGACUUCGUUGAUAUACAUCAGUUCGGCUUCAGCUGGCAGGAUCCCGCUACAAUCCAAACAGCGCCACGGGAGGAAAUGGUUAGGAACACAAAACUGACCGGAAACCCUCAGUAGCCCAACGGAAACUCUAGAGCUGCAGCACUGGGGACGGCAAACCCUUCCACCAGGGAGCACGGUACCUUAUCAACUGUGGCACUGACAUUCAGCUGCCUUUUACUCAAC
Molecule: long non-coding RNA, 2091 nt
Filed under: Mus pahari (shrew mouse)
Lineage: Eukaryota; Metazoa; Chordata; Mammalia; Rodentia; Muridae
Description: predicted gene, 26574 (MGP_PahariEiJ_G0003714.1)
Source: RNAcentral